This 84-nucleotide transfer RNA is filed under the name Candidatus Andersenbacteria bacterium RIFCSPHIGHO2_02_FULL_46_16. Its description in RNAcentral is "tRNA-Leu". It matches the Rfam family "tRNA". From Rfam's summary of the family: Transfer RNA (tRNA) molecules are approximately 80 nucleotides in length. Their secondary structure includes four short double-helical elements and three loops (D, anti-codon, and T loops). The record is from RNAcentral. RNAcentral also lists the same sequence under 4 other names. Lineage: Bacteria; Candidatus Anderseniibacteriota.
GCGGACGUGGAGAAACCGGCAGACUCGCAGCCUUGAGGGGGCUGUGGCCGCAAGGCCGUGUGGGUUCAAAUCCCACCGUCCGCA